Molecule: long non-coding RNA, 535 nt
Organism: Asterias rubens (European starfish)
Lineage: Eukaryota; Metazoa; Echinodermata; Asteroidea; Forcipulatida; Asteriidae
Exons: 3
Source: RefSeq, a predicted model, not a curated record
GCAACGUGCUUCCUUUAACAUUUUAAUCCACAUCAGUCUUUACCUAUUUUUCUUUUCCACAGUAAAUCCAUGUUCCAAUGCGGAUGAUGUGAAGGUGAUUGUGUGCAUUGCUGAUAACUGUGAUCUCGGACACCUUAGAUGAUGACAGUUUGGUAAUCCUAGGUAUCGAGCUGUCCUGUGGGGUGAUGAGUACAGCUGGAGGUUGCGAUGAUCUCCAGUGGACGAAACAGCAGAGAAGUCAACAACAGACCGCAUGUUUGAGAGGCAAUUUGAUGUUGAUGCCAACCAAUGCUUGGACUGUGCAACCAGCUGAAGGAGGACAUCGUCAAUCCUAGACAGGUGAUUCUCCACAAGGUCAACUAUUCAAGUGAGCUCAACUGGACCAUGAUGGCGCCCUCUACUGACUGUAUGGUGACACCCGAGGAGAAGACUAUCUUGAGCCCGGUUCAUACUUCAUGCGAAUGUGAUGCCAAUUUGACGUGAAUUUGAUGUCACAGUUAGACAACUCUGUUUUCACUUGAGCACGACUUUCGUU